RNAcentral lists this ribosomal RNA (500 nucleotides) under uncultured Myrionecta. RNAcentral's name for it is "bacterial SSU rRNA". It matches the Rfam family "Eukaryotic small subunit ribosomal RNA", at positions 1213 to 1800 of the family's 1831-position model. The record is from RNAcentral. Lineage: Eukaryota; Ciliophora; Litostomatea; Cyclotrichida; Mesodiniidae.
ACUUACCAGGCCAAGACAUGGGCGUGAUUGACAGGCUAAUGACUUUUCUCGAUUCCAUGGAUGGUGGUGCAUGGUCGCACUUAGUUGGUGCAGUGAUUUGUCAGGUUUAUUCCGGUAACGAACGAGACCUCGGCCUUGUAAAUAGCUAUGCUGCUUACAGGGACAUUGGCGGCUACGCCAAGGAAGCUCGAGGCAAUUGCAGAUCUGGAAUGCCCUUAGAUGUCCUGGGUCGCACGCGUGCUACAAUGACGCCACGAACGAGCUUGCGUGAUGAAAGUUACGCAUAAUCAGCAGUCGGCGUCUUAAGGGAUAGUCUCUAGUAACUGUGGGACUCCAACUAGGAAUGUCCCGUAAGCACAAGUCAACAUCUUGUGUUGAUUACGUCCCUGCUCUUUGUACACACCGCCCGUCGCUCCUACCGAUCGAGUGUUUAGGUGAAUUUGAUGGACGUAAGGAAGUCAAAUAAACCUGAGCACUAGAGAAGAGAAGUCGAGCAAGCU